AAGCCCCCGGCACAACUAGGCGCAGCUGGCAGCCUCCCCGCGAUCCGGGCCCCACAACCGAUAAAGGGCGCAUGCUUCGUGCUUCCGGAGCGGGGUCGCCAGCCCGGGAUAGGGCAGGAACAGAAGGCUGGGAAGAGGCACAGCCAGUCCCGCACGCGCGGAAGGUGGGCGCGGUCGCUCCCAGCCCGCUCCGCCCUUUCUUCCCCUAGCUCCCCAGCCUGGGCUGCGCUCUCCGCUCCCCUUCUCCCCGCUGCGCCGCUGCUCUUGUAGGGAAAGCUGGGGGGAGAGGGGUGCGCGCUGGGUACGCGACGAGGAUAAGGAUGAAGCGCUGGGGGUGACGCGACGGGGGAAAGAGGGAGGGGACAGGUACGGAGUUGGGAAUACAAACGGCUGCCGAAUCGGCUAGCCUUGGGUACCACGGCACUCCUUAGAAGCUGACGCUUCGGCCGAGAGCCGCGGCUGGGCCCGGAGGGGCCGGCGCGCUCUUGAAUCCCUGAGCAGGAGCUGCCCCGCCUCCAGGAACCGAAACGCUGCCUCGCAGCGGUCCCGGUGCGCGCACCGGAGAGCACACCUGCCCCGCACACCUGCGAGAACACGUGUGCGCGCGCGCUGGAGGCUGCUUGCCCUGCCCUGGCCUUUCAGGAACCUGCUAGGACAGAUUCAGGGACCGCAAGUGCAGGCAGCGGCGGGACUCCGAGGCGAAGGACUCAGCUCAGAGCCUCCUCCCAGGGCCACAAAGCCGAAGUGCUUUCCUUCAGACUGCAGGGACCGGCGUCAGAGAGAUGCAGGCGCGGAGUUUAAUUCGGACUGCUCAUUUCUAGCCAGAUGUUUACAGAGGGGAGGGGGCGUCGUUGCCAGGACCCCCCCCCCCCACACACACACACGCACACGCCGGCGGGAAGUUCUGGGUGGAGGGAUUGCUGCUAUUGGCUGGGAGAUCUCACCGGGACCUCCGGCCAGGGCUUCUCUGACCCAACGCCUCUUGUGUUUCUCACAAUUAGCUUGA
RNAcentral lists this long non-coding RNA (1006 nucleotides) under Oryctolagus cuniculus (rabbit). Its description in RNAcentral is "lncRNA (ENSOCUG00000034650.1)". The record is from RNAcentral. Lineage: Eukaryota; Metazoa; Chordata; Mammalia; Lagomorpha; Leporidae.